AUUGAACGCUGGCGGCAGGCCUAACACAUGCAAGUCGAGCGGAUGAAGGGAGCUUGCUCCUGGAUUCAGCGGCGGACGGGUGAGUAAUGCCUAGGAAUCUGCCUGGUAGUGGGGGAUAACGUCCGGAAACGGGCGCUAAUACCGCAUACGUCCUGAGGGAGAAAGUGGGGGAUCUUCGGACCUCACGCUAUCAGAUGAGCCUAGGUCGGAUUAGCUAGUUGGUGGGGUAAAGGCCUACCAAGGCGACGAUCCGUAACUGGUCUGAGAGGAUGAUCAGUCACACUGGAACUGAGACACGGUCCAGACUCCUACGGGAGGCAGCAGUGGGGAAUUUUGGAAAAUGGGCGAAAGCCUGAUCCAGCCAUGCCGGGGGGGUGAAGAAGGGCUUCGGAUUGUAAAGCACUUUAAGUUGGGAGGAAGGGCAGUAAGUUAAUCCCUUGCUGUUUUGACGUUACCAACAGAAAAAGCACCGGCUAACUUCGU
This 483-nucleotide ribosomal RNA is filed under the name uncultured bacterium. RNAcentral's name for it is "partial 16S ribosomal RNA". It matches the Rfam family "Bacterial small subunit ribosomal RNA", at positions 30 to 506 of the family's 1533-position model. The record is from RNAcentral.